UACGUAGGGGGCAAGCGUUGUCCGGAAUCAUUGGGCGUAAAGCGCGUGUAGGCGGUUCGAUAAGUCUGCUGUGAAAGUCCAGGGCUCAACCCUGGGAUGCCGGUGGAUACUGUCGGACUAGAGUACGGAAGAGGCGAGUGGAAUUCCCGGUGUAGCGGUGAAAUGCGCAGAUAUCGGGAAGAACACCCAUGGCGAAGGCAGCUCUCUGGGACGGUACUGACGCUGAGACGCGAAAGCGUGGGGAGCGAACAGG
This 253-nucleotide ribosomal RNA is filed under the name uncultured bacterium. Its description in RNAcentral is "partial 16S ribosomal RNA". It matches the Rfam family "Bacterial small subunit ribosomal RNA", at positions 524 to 776 of the family's 1533-position model. The record is from RNAcentral.